RNAcentral lists this non-coding RNA (30 nucleotides) under Mus musculus (house mouse). The record is from RNAcentral. Lineage: Eukaryota; Metazoa; Chordata; Mammalia; Rodentia; Muridae.
UAAGAUGGCAUUUCGUCAUGUUGAGUGACA